UACAGAGGUCUCAAGCGUUGUUCGGAUUCAUUGGGCGUAAAGGGUGCGUAGGCGGCGCGGUAAGUCGGGUGUGAAAUUUCGAGGCUUAACUUCGAAACUGCAUUCGAUACUGCCGUGCUUGAGGACUGGAGAGGAGACUGGAAUUUACGGUGUAGCGGUGAAAUGCGUAGAUAUCGUAAGGAAGACCGGUGGCGAAGGCGGGUCUCUGGACAGUUCCUGACGCUGAGGCACGAAGGCCAGGGGAGCAAACGGG
Molecule: ribosomal RNA, 253 nt
Filed under: uncultured bacterium
Lineage: Bacteria
Description: partial 16S ribosomal RNA
Rfam family: Bacterial small subunit ribosomal RNA
Source: RNAcentral